This 295-nucleotide unclassified non-coding RNA is filed under the name Hevea brasiliensis (rubber tree). The record is from RNAcentral. Lineage: Eukaryota; Viridiplantae; Streptophyta; Magnoliopsida; Malpighiales; Euphorbiaceae.
GUCUGGAUGACUGAAUGGUUCUUGUCUGUGUUGAACACGAGAUAAUCUCCGAGGCUGAAGUUCUUCCCGGCUGCCCAGCUCUGGUAAUUCACCUUUGGCACCAUGAGGUGGUCAAACCACCCUAGAGCAUCUCCGACGGUGUAGUUUUUGUAGGCUUCGGAUCUUUGGGGUGAGUUGAUGAAGAGGAUGAUGGAGAACAAGAAGAAUGAGGAGAAUGGAAGGGAUUGGAAGGCUCUGCGAACGGAUCUGAUCCACUGCUCCAUUCCUUCACGGGAUCCGAGAAAGGUAAUAGGGG